GUCGAUCACAAUUACAGUACUGGGAUUUCGUCUUCCCGAGUGGGAAGCAGUAUAUUCAAGCAAUCUUCGCCAAAAACAUCGCUAUCCUGGCUUAUAGCUUGAUUUGAUGUCCUGCCUUACAGUUUCGCCAAAGUAAACCCGAUGGAAUAUUGACAAUUCGGGUGACAGUUAGAAGUUCGGCAGACAAAACUUCGGCGGAGUUCGGCAUCGGCAUUCUAUUUAAUUUGGUGCUUCGCCGACGCAUAAGGAUUGCCUUUGCCGACGCUAAACUUCGGUGAACUUUUGUCGGUGGUAUUUCAUUUCUCUUAUGAACUUCGGUUAAUCUGAAUAUACGGAAUUCCUAGCUUCCGAAAAGUGAACAA
Molecule: long non-coding RNA, 362 nt
Organism: Aedes aegypti (yellow fever mosquito)
Lineage: Eukaryota; Metazoa; Arthropoda; Insecta; Diptera; Culicidae
Exons: 2
Source: RefSeq, a predicted model, not a curated record